UGGCGACCGGCGCACGGGUGAGUAACACGUAUCCAACCUGCCGAUGACUCGGGGGAUAGCCUUUCGAAAGAAAGAUUAAUACCCGAUGGCAUAGUUCUUCCGCAUGGUAGAACUAUUAAAGAAUUUCGGUCAUCGAUGGGGAUGCGUUCCAUUAGCUUGUUGGCGGGGUAACGGCCCACCAAGGCAUCGAUGGAUAGGGGUUCUGAGAGGAAGGUCCCCCACAUUGGAACUGAGACACGGUCCAAACUCCUACGGGAGGCAGCAG
This 265-nucleotide ribosomal RNA is filed under the name uncultured bacterium. RNAcentral describes it as "partial 16S ribosomal RNA". It matches the Rfam family "Bacterial small subunit ribosomal RNA", at positions 89 to 354 of the family's 1533-position model. The record is from RNAcentral.